GCGGGGGUUUCCCAGCCAGGUCAAAGGUAUUUAAAUAAAUAUUAAUGACCGGCAAAAGGAGCUGGACUUAGGAUCCAGUCGCAUAGGCGUUCGUGAGUUCAAAUCUCACCCCCCGCA
This 117-nucleotide transfer RNA is filed under the name Candidatus Heimdallarchaeota archaeon. Its description in RNAcentral is "tRNA-Leu". The record is from RNAcentral. Lineage: Archaea; Promethearchaeati; Candidatus Heimdallarchaeota.